AAAGGGCAAACCCGGGGAAACCCGGGGGCGCAAAGCCACGGGCCCUCGCGCCCCGCCUGGGGCGAAGGGUGGCCGGGCUGCCGAA
RNAcentral lists this non-coding RNA (85 nucleotides) under marine sediment metagenome. RNAcentral describes it as "c-di-GMP-I riboswitch aptamer". It matches the Rfam family "c-di-GMP-I riboswitch aptamer". Rfam says of the family: GEMM was predicted in a large-scale screen for bacterial structured RNA regulatory elements. The record is from RNAcentral. RNAcentral also lists the same sequence under 1 other name.